GGGGAAAUAGCCCAAUGGUAGAGGCGCGUUUAAUUUGAUUAGAAAUAUUCAGUAACAGCAAUUAUUUUUGCUUUGGGAGCACGUAUAUAUAGGUUCGAAUCCUAUUUUCCCCA
This 113-nucleotide transfer RNA is filed under the name Clostridia bacterium. RNAcentral describes it as "tRNA-OTHER". It matches the Rfam family "tRNA". From Rfam's summary of the family: Transfer RNA (tRNA) molecules are approximately 80 nucleotides in length. Their secondary structure includes four short double-helical elements and three loops (D, anti-codon, and T loops). Lineage: Bacteria; Bacillati; Bacillota; Clostridia. The record is from RNAcentral.